AACGAACGCUGGCGGCAGGCUUAACACAUGCAAGUCGAACGGUCUCUUCGGAGGCAGUGGCAGACGGGUGAGUAACGCGUGGGAACAUACCUUUCGGUACGGAACAACAGUUGGAAACGACUGCUAAUACCGUAUACGCCCUGAGGGGGAAAGAUUUAUCGCCGAGAGAUUGGCCCGCGUUGGAUUAGCUAGUUGGUGGGGUAAUGGCCUACCAAGGCGACGAUCCAUAGCUGGUCUGAGAGGAUGAUCAGCCACACUGGGACUGAGACACGGCCCAGACUCCUACGGGAGGCAGCAGUGGGGAAUAUUGGACAAUGGCGCAAGCCUGAUCCAGCCAUGCCGCGUGAGUGAUGAAGGCCUUAGGGUUGUAAAGCUCUUUCGCCGGUGAAGAUAAUGACGGUAACCGG
This 407-nucleotide ribosomal RNA is filed under the name uncultured bacterium. RNAcentral's name for it is "bacterial SSU rRNA". It matches the Rfam family "Bacterial small subunit ribosomal RNA", at positions 29 to 482 of the family's 1533-position model. The record is from RNAcentral.